Molecule: non-coding RNA, 3297 nt
Organism: Manis javanica (Malayan pangolin)
Lineage: Eukaryota; Metazoa; Chordata; Mammalia; Pholidota; Manidae
Source: RefSeq, a predicted model, not a curated record
CUAAAACUGUGAAAGAAACUGAAUCCACAUCAUUUACAAAGGAGCACAAACUAGACUGGCACCAAGCUUCUCGUCAGAGGACUGAGGCUAACAGACAGACAGAAUUAAAGGUGGGAAGGAACAAGGGGCUGUCGCUCUUCGGUGAACCUGGAAUUUCUCCAUGUGCUUGCCAGAACCCCAGAAUGAAAUUAGAAUGCAGUAUCUAACAACAACAUUGCUGUAGGCAAUAAUUUAAUCUAUUUUGCUGUUUUAAAAAAUCAAGGCUUUGCCCUCCCUGGCCCUGAGCUCUGCACUGGCCAUGGCUCUGCUUUCUCAGGUCCCCACUCUCCACCCACCAUCACACAUCUGAAAGGGAGCAACCCAAUAGCAGAAGAAAUUAGGGGGACCUUAUAUUCCAGGAGACAUUAUAAAAAGCAAACCUACUCAUAUUUUAAAAGACAGAUUGAUUCCUGCCCUCUCUGUCCAAGUUGAGACUAGCAGAGGAUUCGUCAAUGAGCAGGCAGGUGAGGGAGGAGCUCCUGUUGUGUCGGCUCCCCUGAAGUUGCUCCUGGUCAGGCAGAAAUGGCCCUGCUGGAAUCCCUCAGCACACACGUACCCUGACACAUGCACAUGUCAGUGCAGUGUAACAGGACAGUUUGCCUCUCACAAGAGAACCUAAAAUGCGAAUUACCAGCAUUUCCAGCCUCCUUGCUGCUGGAGAUGGUGACGUGAUACAGUUCUGGGAUGGCCUUGUGGCAGAGUCCUGAAAUGGCAACAUGACACAGCUGGGGGGGCAACAUGACCGUCCCACAGUGGCAAUGUGAUGACGUAACACAUUUCUGGAAUGGCCAUGUAACAAAGCUCUUGGGUGGUGAAGUGCCACAUUUCUAGCAUGUUCUGGGUGACCAUGGGAUACAUAGUAUUUGGGUGGCCAUAGGACACAGUCCUGGGAUGGCAGUGUGACCCAGUUCUGGGGUGGUGAUGGGACAGUGCAAAAUGUUUGUGGUCAACAAAGCCUAAAGGAUGUCUGCUGGAGAGUUUCUAGGAAAGAUUCUCCCUCUAUAUAAGAAGGGCUAUGGGAAAAGAACAUUCUCACCCCUGGGACUUCCCCUUUCUCUUCUCACAUGGAACUGAUUUACAUGAGCCCAUGGUCUUGGGGCUGCUGCAACAGCCAUCAUGCUGUGGUGAUGGCAGGCAUUUCACCCAUUAAGGAUGGCAAACAAAUAAAAAGUACCAGGAACCUUGAUGGCAUUUGGAGUAGGUUUAACAACCUUUGACCUGACGACCCCUAAAUUUCUUCUUAAGUGAGAUAGUAGAUAAACUCUUAAUAUUUAUGUCACAUACAUGUGCACUGUUUUUAUUGCAUAUAUACAACUCUGCUAGUCUAGGAAACUAUAAACAUUUCCUGUAGAAAUUAGAAUUAUUUUUGCAAACAGUUACAUGAAGUGCUUUUUGAUAAAGAGUUCAGGACAAAAAAAAUCCAUUUGAAACUUUGUGAAGAAUAUCAUGAGUUAGAUAAAUAUGAGGCAAGAAGGCUCCUUGACCUGGACUAAAGGCAUAAAAUCUUUUGAUUGAAGUUAUAUGCCAAAUACUUUGUCAUGAGCAGCUCUGGAAGUAAGUGGCCAGUUUUUAUAAGAAGCUGAGGCCUUCUGGGAGAUUCAAAUUCCCCCGAUUCCUGCUCACCAAAGUUCAAAAUAAGGAAAACCAAUAAUUUCCACUGAGGUGGCCAGAGCCACCUGCAGUAAGUUUACCUUGACCAGCAUAAGACUAGGCUCACCAUCUGGGGAUCAGUGUGUAUCACGCUGAAACCUCCGCAGCUCCCUCUCAGUGAUUGAGAAUCAGAAAACAAUAGUUGAGCAUGAAAUCUAGAAACCUCAGUGUCUAUGUGAAGAGAUGUGAAUAAGCAAGGGCAUGCCAGGCCCACAAACAAUACUCUCAAAACAGUACAGGAUGUGAAAGUAAUGGCAUUAGUGGGAUUCUGAGAUGACAACCUCCAAUUUGUUUUCCGCAUAUGGAAGCAGGCCGAAUCCUCGACCCCCCCUUACUUUAAUAGUAUGAGCAAGUGAUGGGUUGGAACUGAGACCUGAAGGAAGAAUUAACAAAAUUCUCACUAACAGAGCUUGUGGAAAUCAAAGCCUUAACUAAAAAUGAAUGAACAAAUGAGUGAAAACGCCAAUGAUCCCUCAAUAUGAUACAGGAUAUACAGAUAGAUAUUUGCCAGUGGCAUACAUUUGCCUACUUAAAUAUCAGACUUGAGAAUUAAAUGAUAACUUUGGAUUGUCCCAAAAUAAAAUGAAUAAUUAAGCAGUUAUUCUUCCCUGAUAUAAUUUUUCUGGUCUUUGCCAUAAUAUUCUAUUUCAGAUAGGAUUUCCUAACAUGUUAAGGAGUGCUUUUUAAGAGUUUUCUAAGAACAGAUAAAUGUGGAAAACAUUUUUUACACAAAUUUAAACAUGUUACCUUGAUCCAAGCCUUCUGAAGCCUUUAAAAUGCAGUAUGACUAUCUAAGAGGGGCUAGAGUAAUAAUCUAAAAAUUAUGUAACCACUGAAGGUUUUAUCACAGACCUCUUAUGUGACAAGUUUCUUGUGACACAUUAUUUGAGAAACCCUUAUUUAGCAUUUGACAAGCAACCUAUAGGCAAUGAAUGUCUAACUUUUUACAUAUAUUUCCCUUAAAUUAAAAAUAUUCAAAUUUAUUCCAAUUAUUUGGAAUUUAAUCUUGUGUUCAAUUGCAGUUGUACUCAUCACUCUGAAGUUUUCAAUAUUAAUGCAUAGUUUAGUCUGUUGGAGUAGUUUUUUAAAUAAGUUUUCAAAGGUGGGUCAUGAAUAAUACAUUUUCUGAUCACCCCCAAAUAUGGAGAAAUAUUUUUUGCAUUGUCUCUUUGUGUAACAUUCAUCUUGGCUAUGUACAAAAGUACUGGGUCCUGAAAUCAUACUUUCAAAACAGUAGGAAAAGUUUUUUUAUAUUAUUGCAUAGAUAUUAGGAACAAGCCUGAAUUUUUCCUUUUGUACAUUGAGGAAUGAGGGAAGGGAAAGCAGCAGGGAGUUAAACCCAGAUACUCAUAGGCUGUUUGUUUUGAUUCAGAUUAUUUAAAAUGUUUGAAAGGGUGUCUAAUGUGCAUAUCCAAAAUAAUGUUGAAUGCAAUUUUCAAAAUACUUUAAAUCUGUAUGACUGGAUUACUAUGAAAUCUCACUUUGUUGGAGGCAUAAACAUGAAAAGCAUUCCUUUGAUGCAAAGAUUGGCACCUUCCAUGUUCAAUGGCACCUCUUUUCCUAGUGAGUCCCCAGUUUCCUAAUUGGUAUGUCAAUUUGACUCAAUAA